RNAcentral lists this ribosomal RNA (497 nucleotides) under uncultured bacterium. RNAcentral describes it as "partial 16S ribosomal RNA". It matches the Rfam family "Bacterial small subunit ribosomal RNA", at positions 36 to 507 of the family's 1533-position model. The record is from RNAcentral.
UCUUCCCUCUUUCUUCGUGCCUAAUACAUGCAAGUCGAGCGAACAGACGAGGAGCUUGCUCCUCUGACGUUAGCGGCGGACGGGUGAGUAACACGUGGAUAACCUACCUAUAAGACUGGGAUAACUUCGGGAAACCGGAGCUAAUACCGGAUAAUAUAUUGAACCGCAUGGUUCAAUAGUGAAAGACGGUUUUGCUGUCACUUAUAGAUGGAUCCGCGCCGCAUUAGCUAGUUGGUAAGGUAACGGCUUACCAAGGCAACGAUGCGUAGCCGACCUGAGAGGGUGAUCGGCCACACUGGAACUGAGACACGGUCCAGACUCCUACGGGAGGCAGCAGUAGGGAAUCUUCCGCAAUGGGCGAAAGCUUGACGGAGCAACGCCGCGUGAGUGAUGAAGGUCUUCUGAUCGUAAAACUCUGUUAUUAGGGAAGAACAAAUGUGUAAGUAACUAUGCACGUCUUGACGGUACCUAAUCAGAAAGCCACGGCUAACUACGUG